ACGGGGCAACUUUUUGGGCAAUGUUGCUGGGCAAUUGCGUUUUGACUCUUUUCUAUUGAGAUUGGGCAACAUUGUUUCUUUCUGAAUGGUUUUGAUAAUCUCUGGCAACUUUUUGAGAUAAGCCAAUCAGAACGCGAGUAUCGAGUCAUGUGACCUCCGGUGAGGUUCGGAUCAGAAAUUUCAAACAAAUAUGGCGGCCGCUCAGUGUCAGUGGAGUGAAGAGAUGGAGAGACUCCUCAUCUGUUUUUACGCCGGUGCUACAGGGCCAUACCAGCCAAAACAAACAGACUCAGGGACAGUUUCUUUCCAAGAGCUGUCACAAUACUCAACUCAAGUUUGCACUAAGGAACUGUCAUGCUUGAACACCACUGACAAGUUGCCUACAUACUGAAAAUAGAGAUCUUGCAUGUGACGUCACAGCCGAUCCAGAUUGUGACAGACGCCAUUUUGUCGGUCAAAUGCCACUUUCCGCCUUCUACUUCUACUUCUGGUUCUACUUCUGGUUCUACUUCUACCUUUUCUUCUGGAAAACCCUACUAUAUACAAUUCUACUACAACGGCUGCGGCUACAAGCUCUCCCUACCUGUGCACGUUUUUUAUAUUUUUUGUGUUUAUUUUUGCGUGUUGUUCGUCUGUACCGGACUUCAAUAUCCACUACAACCGUAUGGACUUACUGGACAUUGGUUUCCAGCAGAAAAUGACGGUUUGUAGCGAUUUCCAUCGCAUGCACAACAUUCUGGACGAGAAAAAAAAAAAACAUUCCGGAUGAGACAGCGAGACCAGCGGGGUCUCCGUGGAUUGUUAUUGGAAGCAAAGCGAAGGAGGCAGCGCCGGGAGCAGAAGCAAAAGCGAGGCUACAGGCAGAGCCGGCCUGUUGACUAAGCUCAGAAAACAGCCACUCAAACCUCCACUGCUAAGCCUCUACCUCUCCAACGCCAGAUCCAUGUAAACAAGACGGACAAUUUGGAAUUACCUUAUUCUAUUCUAUAAUCGGCUGGUCAGUGCUAUACUCAAUACUUAAGUGACUUACCCAUCCAAUGAGGAUUGUUAUUUUCUUGUUUACAAGAUGCCACAUCUGAGUC
This is a long non-coding RNA of Neoarius graeffei (lesser salmon catfish), 1082 nucleotides long. RefSeq lists it as uncharacterized. NCBI's taxonomy places the organism in Eukaryota, Metazoa, Chordata, Actinopteri, Siluriformes, Ariidae. The transcript has 3 exons. The record is from RefSeq and is a predicted model, not a curated record.